Molecule: ribosomal RNA, 368 nt
Filed under: uncultured bacterium
Lineage: Bacteria
Description: bacterial SSU rRNA
Rfam family: Bacterial small subunit ribosomal RNA
Source: RNAcentral
CCUGAGAGGGCGACCGGCCACACUGGGACUGAGACACGGCCCAGACACCUACGGGAGGCAGCAGUGGGGAAUAUUGGGCAAUGGACGAAAGUCUGACCCAGCGACGCCGCGUGAGGGAUGAAGGCCUUCGGGUUGUAAACCUCUUUCAGCAGGGAAGAAGCGAAAGUGACGGUACCUGCAGAAGAAGCACCGGCUAACUAUGUGCCAGCAGCCGCGGUAAUACAUAGGGUGCAAGCGUUGUCCGGAAUUAUUGGGCGUAAAGAGCUCGUAGGUGGUUAGUUACGUCGGAUGUGAAAAUCUAGGGCUCAACCCUAGACCUGCAUCCGAUACGGGCUAGCUUGAGUUUGGUAGGGGAGACUGGAAUUCCU